UGGGGAAUAUUGGACAAUGGGGGCAACCCUGAUCCAGCCAUGCCGCGUGAGUGAUGAAGGCCUUAGGGUUGUAAAGCUCUUUCGCCGGUGAAGAUAAUGACGGUAACCGGUAAAGAAGCCUCGGCUAACUUCGUGCCAGCAGCCGCGGUAAUACGAAGGGGGCUAGCGUUGUUCGGAUUUACUGGGCGUAAAGGGCGCGUAGGCGGACGGUCAAGUCAGAGGUGAAAGGCCCGGGCUCAACCUGGGACGUGCCUUUGAAACUGAUUGUCUUGAGUGCGGAAGAGGGUGACGGAAUUCCCAGUGUAGAGGUGAAAUUCGUAGAUAUUGGGAAGAACACCGGUGGCGAAGGCGGUCACCUGGUCCGCAACUGACGCUGAGGCGCGAAAGCGUGGGGAGCAAACAGGAUUAGAUACCCGUGUAGUCC
RNAcentral lists this ribosomal RNA (424 nucleotides) under uncultured prokaryote. Its description in RNAcentral is "bacterial SSU rRNA". It matches the Rfam family "Bacterial small subunit ribosomal RNA", at positions 355 to 796 of the family's 1533-position model. The record is from RNAcentral.